This 2929-nucleotide ribosomal RNA is filed under the name Citrobacter freundii. Its description in RNAcentral is "23S ribosomal RNA". It matches the Rfam family "Bacterial large subunit ribosomal RNA". The record is from RNAcentral. Lineage: Bacteria; Pseudomonadati; Pseudomonadota; Gammaproteobacteria; Enterobacterales; Enterobacteriaceae.
GGGUUGUGAGGUUAAGCGACUAAGCGUACACGGUGGAUGCCCUGGCAGUCAGAGGCGAUGAAGGACGUGCUAAUCUGCGAUAAGCGUCGGUAAGGUGAUAUGAACCGUUAUAACCGGCGAUUUCCGAAUGGGGAAACCCAGUGUGAUUCGUCACACUAUCAUUACGUGAAUACAUAGCGUAAUGAAGCGAACCGGGGGAACUGAAACAUCUAAGUACCCCGAGGAAAAGAAAUCAACCGAGAUUCCCCCAGUAGCGGCGAGCGAACGGGGAGCAGCCCAGAGUCUGAAUCAGCUUGUGUGUUAGUGGAACGGUCUGGAAAGUCCGACGGUACAGGGUGAUAGUCCCGUACACCAAAAUGCACAGGUUGUGAACUCGAAGAGUAGGGCGGGACACGUGGUAUCCUGUCUGAAUAUGGGGGGACCAUCCUCCAAGGCUAAAUACUCCUGACUGACCGAUAGUGAACCAGUACCGUGAGGGAAAGGCGAAAAGAACCCCGGCGAGGGGAGUGAAAAAGAACCUGAAACCGUGUACGUACAAGCAGUGGGAGCAUCCUUUUGGGUGUGACUGCGUACCUUUUGUAUAAUGGGUCAGCGACUUAUAUUCUGUAGCAAGGUUAACCGUAUAGGGGAGCCGAAGGGAAACCGAGUCUUAACUGGGCGUUAAGUUGCAGGGUAUAGACCCGAAACCCGGUGAUCUAGCCAUGGGCAGGUUGAAGGUUGGGUAACACUAACUGGAGGACCGAACCGACUAAUGUUGAAAAAUUAGCGGAUGACUUGUGGCUGGGGGUGAAAGGCCAAUCAAACCGGGAGAUAGCUGGUUCUCCCCGAAAGCUAUUUAGGUAGCGCCUCGUGAAUUCAUCUUCGGGGGUAGAGCACUGUUUCGGCUAGGGGGUCAUCCCGACUUACCAACCCGAUGCAAACUGCGAAUACCGAAGAAUGUUAUCACGGGAGACACACGGCGGGUGCUAACGUCCGUCGUGAAGAGGGAAACAACCCAGACCGCCAGCUAAGGUCCCAAAGUCAUGGUUAAGUGGGAAACGAUGUGGGAAGGCACAGACAGCCAGGAUGUUGGCUUAGAAGCAGCCAUCAUUUAAAGAAAGCGUAAUAGCUCACUGGUCGAGUCGGCCUGCGCGGAAGAUGUAACGGGGCUAAACCAUGCACCGAAGCUGCGGCAGCGACACUAUGUGUUGUUGGGUAGGGGAGCGUUCUGUAAGCCGUUGAAGGUGUAUCGUGAGGUAUGCUGGAGGUAUCAGAAGUGCGAAUGCUGACAUAAGUAACGAUAAUGCGGGUGAAAAACCCGCACGCCGGAAGACCAAGGGUUCCUGUCCAACGUUAAUCGGGGCAGGGUGAGUCGACCCCUAAGGCGAGGCCGAAAGGCGUAGUCGAUGGGAAACAGGUUAAUAUUCCUGUACUUGGUGUUACUGCGAAGGGGGGACGGAGAAGGCUAUGUUAGCCGGGCGACGGUUGUCCCGGUUUAAGCAUGUAGGCGGAGGUUCCAGGUAAAUCCGGUACCUUUUUAACGCUGAGGUGUGAUGACGAGGCACUACGGUGCUGAAGUAACAAAUGCCCUGCUUCCAGGAAAAGCCUCUAAGCAUCAGGUAACACGAAAUCGUACCCCAAACCGACACAGGUGGUCAGGUAGAGAAUACCAAGGCGCUUGAGAGAACUCGGGUGAAGGAACUAGGCAAAAUGGUGCCGUAACUUCGGGAGAAGGCACGCUGAUAUGUAGGUGAAGUGAUUUACUCAUGGAGCUGAAAUCAGUCGAAGAUACCAGCUGGCUGCAACUGUUUAUUAAAAACACAGCACUGUGCAAACACGAAAGUGGACGUAUACGGUGUGACGCCUGCCCGGUGCCGGAAGGUUAAUUGAUGGGGUUAUCCGUAAGGAGAAGCUCUUGAUCGAAGCCCCGGUAAACGGCGGCCGUAACUAUAACGGUCCUAAGGUAGCGAAAUUCCUUGUCGGGUAAGUUCCGACCUGCACGAAUGGCGUAAUGAUGGCCAGGCUGUCUCCACCCGAGACUCAGUGAAAUUGAACUCGCUGUGAAGAUGCAGUGUACCCGCGGCAAGACGGAAAGACCCCGUGAACCUUUACUAUAGCUUGACACUGAACACUGGUCCUUGAUGUGUAGGAUAGGUGGGAGGCUUUGAAGUGUGGACGCCAGUCUGCAUGGAGCCAUCCUUGAAAUACCACCCUUUAAUGGCUGGUGUUCUAACGUGGACCCGUAAUCCGGGUUGCGGACAGUGUCUGGUGGGUAGUUUGACUGGGGCGGUCUCCUCCUAAAGAGUAACGGAGGAGCACGAAGGUUAGCUAAUCCUGGUCGGACAUCAGGAGGUUAGUGCAAAGGCAUAAGCUAGCUUGACUGCGAGAGUGACGGCUCGAGCAGGUGCGAAAGCAGGUCUUAGUGAUCCGGUGGUUCUGAAUGGAAGGGCCAUCGCUCAACGGAUAAAAGGUACUCCGGGGAUAACAGGCUGAUACCGCCCAAGAGUUCAUAUCGACGGCGGUGUUUGGCACCUCGAUGUCGGCUCAUCACAUCCUGGGGCUGAAGUAGGUCCCAAGGGUAUGGCUGUUCGCCAUUUAAAGUGGUACGCGAGCUGGGUUUAGAACGUCGUGAGACAGUUCGGUCCCUAUCUGCCGUGGGCGCUGGAGAAUUGAGGGGGGCUGCUCCUAGUACGAGAGGACCGGAGUGGACGCAUCACUGGUGUUCGGGUUGUCAUGCCAAUGGCAUUGCCCGGUAGCUAAAUGCGGAAGAGAUAAGUGCUGAAAGCAUCUAAGCACGAAACUUGCCCCGAGAUGAGUUCUCCCUGAGACUUUAAGUCUCCUGAAGGAACGUUAAAGACGAUGACGUUGAUAGGUCGGGUGUGUAAGUGUAGCGAUACAUUGAGCUAACCGAUACUAAUGAACCGUGAGGCUUAACCUUACAACGCCGAAG